Long non-coding RNA from Arvicola amphibius (Eurasian water vole), 804 nucleotides. RefSeq lists it as uncharacterized. The record is from RefSeq and is a predicted model, not a curated record. The transcript is spliced from 4 exons. Lineage: Eukaryota; Metazoa; Chordata; Mammalia; Rodentia; Cricetidae.
GCAAACAGCGACAACUAAAAAGACGCGUCACGCGGAGACUGAAGGGCUACUGAACGGGGUCAAAUUCUGGCCUUUUAUUUACUGCUACAUGACUUUGGUCAGCUUAACAGCUCUGUGACUCCUUUUCUUAUUGUUAAAAGUAAAAACAGAAACAAACAAAAAGGUGUUAGCACGGCAAUGCCCGCCUCGAGUUACUGGGUCUACGUGGGGGAACACACUUCAAUUCCCGAGCGGUCUCUCCCGGGAAGCCAGUACAGCAGUGUUUGCUGCUGCCGCUGUUAGGAGCCGUCUUCAGGGAGCUACGUCCAGCAACGCGAAGUGUUCACAGACGCCGAGAAAAAACAAAGAGAUAAGGGACUUGGUUCUCAAGAUCCCUCAAGAACUGGAGAAUCCUCCUCGUCCGCAUCCUUGGAGAAUCAGCUUUCAACCCUUCUGGGCAAAGCACAGGAACCCGUGGUUCUUUGAAGUGGUAGAAGAUUAUCUAUCUAUGUGGAAUACAAUCUCUGUGUAUCUAAAAGAACCUGAUUAAUCUAACUGAGCUUUUGAUGUCACUUGAAAGCAACUGUCCAUCAAGAGGUCUUCAGUCUAGGACUACAGAAAUAGCACAGAAAUAACAGCCCUGGUUGCUCUUCCAGAGGACCCUGGUUCAAUUCCCAGCACCCACAUGAUAACUCCAGUUUCAGGGCAUCUGAAACUCUCUCCUGCCCUCUUCUGGCCUCUGCAUAUACCAGGCAUGUUCCUGGUACAUAAACAUCAAUUCAGACAAAACACUCAUACACAGAAAAUAAUAAAUUUAAAAAAAUG